Molecule: ribosomal RNA, 508 nt
Filed under: Migneauxia orientalis
Lineage: Eukaryota; Metazoa; Arthropoda; Insecta; Coleoptera; Latridiidae
Description: partial 16S ribosomal RNA
Rfam family: Bacterial large subunit ribosomal RNA (bases 382-508)
Source: RNAcentral
GUCUUUUUGAUAAUAAUUUAAAGUCUAAUCUGCCCACUGAGAUAUUAAAUGGCUGCGGUAUUUUGACCGUACAAAGGUAGCAUAAUCAUUAGUUUUUUUAUUGAAAACUGGAAUGAAUGAUUGAAUAAGAAAAAUACUGUCUCAAAUUUAUAUUUUUAAAAUUUAAUUUUUAAGUUAAAAAGCUUAAAUGUUAUUUAAAGACGAGAAGACCCUAUAGAGUUUAAUAAAAUUUAAUUUAAAAUUUUAAGAUUAUAAUAUUUUAAUUGAAAAUUUUAUUUAGUUGGGGUGAUUUAAAAAUUUAGUUAACUUUUUUUAGUAUAUUACAUUUAUUUAUGAAUAAAUGAUCCAUAAUUUAUGAUUAUAAGAAUAAAUUACCUUAGGGAUAACAGCGUAAUUUUUUUUUAGAGUUCUAAUCGAAAAAAGAGAUUGCGACCUCGAUGUUGGAUUAAAAUUAAUAUUUGGUGUAGAAGUUAAAUAAUUAAGUCUGUUCGACUUUUAAAAUUUUACA